RNAcentral lists this ribosomal RNA (301 nucleotides) under uncultured bacterium. RNAcentral describes it as "partial 16S ribosomal RNA". It matches the Rfam family "Bacterial small subunit ribosomal RNA", at positions 509 to 807 of the family's 1533-position model. The record is from RNAcentral.
CAGCCGCCACGGUAAUACGAAGGGUGCAAGCGUUAAUCGGAAUUACUGGGCGUAAAGCGCACGCAGGCGGUCUGACAAGUCAGAUGUGAAAUCCCCGGGCUUAACCUGGGAACUGCAUUUGAAACUGUCAGGCUGGAGUCUUGUAGAGGGGGGUAGAAUUCCAGGUGUAGCGGUGAAAUGCGUAGAGAUCUGGAGGAAUACCGGUGGCGAAGGCGGCCCCCUGGACAAAGACUGACGCUCAGGUGCGAAGGCGUGGGGCGCAAACAGGAUUAGAUACCCCGGUAGUCCCUGUCUCUUAUAC